GCUUGUCUCAAAGAUUAAGCCAUGCAUGUCUUAGUGUAAAUAACUCUUAUGAAACUGCGAAUGGCUCAUUAAAUCAGUUAUCGUUUAUUUGAUGGUCCCUUACUACAUGGAUAACCGUAGUAAUUCUAGAGCUAAUACAUGCACAAAGGCCCGACUCACGGAGGGCUGUAUUUAUUAGAUUCAAACCAACACUUUUUGGUGAUUCAUAAUAACUUUUGCGGAUCGCAUGGCCUUGAGCCGGCGACGAAUCAUUCAAAUUUCUGCCCUAUCAACUUUCGAUGGUACGGUAUUGGCCUACCAUGGUUACCACGGGUAACGGGGAAUUAGGGUUCGGUUCCGGAGAGGGGGCCUGAGAAAUGGCCACCACAUCCAAGGAAGGCAGCAGG
Molecule: ribosomal RNA, 386 nt
Filed under: uncultured Cryptophyta
Lineage: Eukaryota; Cryptophyceae
Description: partial small subunit ribosomal RNA
Rfam family: Eukaryotic small subunit ribosomal RNA
Source: RNAcentral